UUANCAUGCAGUCGAACGAUGAAGCCCUUCGGGGUGGAUUAGUGGCGAACGGGUGAGUAACACGUGGGCAAUCUGCCCUUCACUCUGGGACAAGCCCUGGAAACGGGGUCUAAUACCGGAUAACACCGGCUUCCGCAUGGAAGCUGGUUGAAAGCUCCGGCGGUGAAGGAUGAGCCCGCGGCCUAUCAGCUUGUUGGUGGGGUAAUGGCCUACCAAGGCGACGACGGGUAGCCGGCCUGAGAGGGCGACCGGCCACACUGGGACUGAGACACGGCCCAGACUCCUACGGGAGGCAGCAGUGGGGAAUAUUGCACAAUGGGCGAAAGCCUGAUGCAGCGACGCCGCGUGAGGGAUGACGGCCUUCGGGUUGUAAACCUCUUUCAGCAGGGAAGAAGCGAAAGUGACGGUACCUGCAGAAGAAGCGCCGGCUAACUACGUGCCAGCAGCCGCGGUAAUACGUAGGGCGCAAGCGUUGUCCGGAAUUAUUGGGCGUAAAGAGCUCGUAGGCGGCUUGUCACGUCGGGUGUGAAAGCCCGGGGCUUAACCCCGGGUCUGCAUCCGAUACGGGCAGGCUAGAGUGUGGUAGGGGAGAUCGGAAUUCCUGGUGUAGCGGG
Molecule: ribosomal RNA, 614 nt
Filed under: Streptomyces omiyaensis
Lineage: Bacteria; Bacillati; Actinomycetota; Actinomycetes; Kitasatosporales; Streptomycetaceae
Description: bacterial SSU rRNA
Rfam family: Bacterial small subunit ribosomal RNA
Source: RNAcentral